RNAcentral lists this ribosomal RNA (420 nucleotides) under Sceloporus hunsakeri. RNAcentral's name for it is "partial 16S ribosomal RNA". It matches the Rfam family "Bacterial large subunit ribosomal RNA", at positions 1923 to 2540 of the family's 2925-position model. Lineage: Eukaryota; Metazoa; Chordata; Lepidosauria; Squamata; Phrynosomatidae. The record is from RNAcentral.
UUCAACGGCCGCGGUAUCCUAACCGUGCAAAGGUAGCGUAAUCACUUGUCCCUUAAAUAGGGACCCGUAUGAACGGCUAAAUGAGGAUAAAACUGUCUCCUUUAACAAAUCAGUGAAACUGAUCUACCAGUACAAAAGCUGGUAUAACCCCAUAAGACGAGAAGACCCUGUGGAGCUUCAAAUUUAAACCAAACUACCAAUACAAACACAGUCCAUGGCUAAAAAUUUUAAGUUGGGGCGACUUCGGAAACAAACCAAACUUCCGAGCAUAAGACUAUGUCUCACUAAGACCAACAAGUCAAAGCUAUAACUUGACCCAGUACAACUGAUAGCCGAACCAAGUUACCCCAGGGAUAACAGNGCAAUCUUCUUCAAGAGUCCCUAUCGACAAGAAGGUUUACGACCUCGAUGUUGGAUCAG